This 466-nucleotide ribosomal RNA is filed under the name uncultured Chloroflexota bacterium. Its description in RNAcentral is "bacterial SSU rRNA". It matches the Rfam family "Bacterial small subunit ribosomal RNA", at positions 28 to 507 of the family's 1533-position model. Lineage: Bacteria; Bacillati; Chloroflexota. The record is from RNAcentral.
GAUGAACGCUGGCGGCGUGCCUAAUACAUGCAAGUCGAACGGAGAGAGGAGAUUUCGGUUGAAUCUCUUAGUGGCGAACGGGUGAGUAACGCGUUGGUGACCUGCCCCGAAGAGGGGGAUAACAGCUCGAAAGGGCUGCUAAUACCCCAUGAGAUCUACCCGGUUAGAGGAGGUAGAUGAAAGGAGCAAUUCGCUUCGGGAGGGGCCUGCGUCCCAUCAGCUAGUUGGUAGGGUAAAGGCCUACCAAGGCAAAGACGGGUAGGGGGCCUGAGAGGGUGACCCCCCACACUGGCACUGAAACACGGGCCAGACACCUACGGGUGGCAGCAGUAGGGAAUAUUGCACAAUGGGCGAAAGCCUGAUGCAGCAACGCCGCGUGCGCGAUGACGGCCUUCGGGUUGUAAAGCGCUUUUCGGGGAGAUGAGGAAGGACAGUAUCCCCGGAAUAAGGCUCGGCUAACUACGUG